UACGUAUGGAGCAAGCGUUAUCCGGAUUUACUGGGUGUAAAGGGAGCGUAGACGGAGGAGCAAGUCUGGUGUGAAAGGCGGGGGCUUAACCCCUGGACUGCAUUGGAAACUGUUUUUCUAGAGUGCCGGAGAGGUAAGCGGAAUUCCUAGUGUAGCGGUGAAAUGCGUAGAUAUUAGGAGGAACACCAGUGGCGAAGGCGGCUUACUGGACGGUAACUGACGUUGAGGCUCGAAAGCGUGGGGAGCAAACAGG
This 253-nucleotide ribosomal RNA is filed under the name uncultured bacterium. Its description in RNAcentral is "partial 16S ribosomal RNA". It matches the Rfam family "Bacterial small subunit ribosomal RNA", at positions 524 to 776 of the family's 1533-position model. The record is from RNAcentral.